UUUUAGGUGGUAAAAAAUUGUCUCUUGAUUGUGUUACGAGGUGGAACUCUACGUUUUUUAUGCUUCAAACUGCCAUAGAAUAUAAGGAUGUCUUCUCUCGUUUGAAAAUCUGUGAAAGUCAAUACAAGAGUUGUGUACAGGACAGUGAUUGGGAGGUAGCCAAAGAAGUAUGUGAGAGGUUGGAUGUUUUUUAUAAGGCCACAGAGGUGUUUAGUGGGAUAAAGUUCCAACAUCGAACUUGUUUUUUGCAAAGGUUUGUAGGAUAAAAAUGGCAUUAACAGAAUGGGCAAAGUUGUAUGAAAGUAAUGAGAUGGAAGAUCUUUACAAAAAGAUAAAAUGGGAGAUGAUGAGAGAUAUGGCAGCACAAAUGAUUAAGAAAUAUGAUAAGUACUGGACAAUAAUUCAUAGUAUUUUGGGUGUUGCGGCGGUGUUAGAUCCUAGGUUCAAGAUGAAGUUGGUAGAAUAUUAUUUCAAUCAGAUCUAUGGGGAGGAUGCUAUUUUUGAGAUUGAGAAGGUUCACAAUUAUUGUAAGGAGCUACUUAAGGUGUAUGAAGUGAAACUUAACAUGGUGGCAUUGCUUCUUCAUGCCAAGUUGAGUCUACUAUGGAAGUUGAUGAUGAUUUAUCUAACUUUGAUGUAUUUGUUACAAGUAAUCAGACAAGCCAAGUUUCAGCUAAAAAGGUCAGAAUUAGAUCGUUAUUUGGAAGAGGAUGUGAUACCGGGAGCUAAUCAAGACUUUGAUGUUUUAGCUUGGUAGAAAAAUGACAUGAAGUUUCCAACUUUGAGGGUCAUUGCUAAGGAUGUGUUAUCUAUACCUGUUUCUACUGUUGCGUUCGAGUCUGCUUUCAGCACUAGUGGGAUGGUUGUGACUCCACAUCGUAGUAGGCUCCAUCCCAAGACAAUAGAAGCAUUGAUGUGCACUCGUAGUUGGUUAUUGGCUCAUGAAUCUAAAGGUAAUAAUUCAAAUGAGUUUGCAUCGGUUCUUGAUGACAUGGAUGUUGAUAGCUCUCAGUCUUGUGUUACAAUGGUUAAAGACUGAUUUGGCAUUUUUGCAUUGAAACGGCUGAGCUUUGUGGAUUGGAAUGGCUCACUUUUGCACAGAAGUUGGAAAAAUUGUCUACGAGUUUUUUGGGGUUUUAUUUUGGAUGAACUUAUUGAAAUUCCUAGUUUUAUUUUCGAUGAACUUGUUGCAAGAUCAUUUCUCAGUUGUUGUUUGUUAUUAUGCUCGAACACUUUCAGGUAGCUAGUUGCUUAUGGAUGAA
Long non-coding RNA from Rhododendron vialii, 1262 nucleotides. RefSeq lists it as uncharacterized. The transcript is spliced from 3 exons. NCBI's taxonomy places the organism in Eukaryota, Viridiplantae, Streptophyta, Magnoliopsida, Ericales, Ericaceae. The record is from RefSeq and is a predicted model, not a curated record.